Varanus komodoensis (Komodo dragon) is the source of this 372-nucleotide long non-coding RNA. RefSeq lists it as uncharacterized. The record is from RefSeq and is a predicted model, not a curated record. The transcript has 3 exons. Lineage: Eukaryota; Metazoa; Chordata; Lepidosauria; Squamata; Varanidae.
UUCUCCCUGGACAUGUUUGAUCAGAGGCAGCUGGCAAAGAAAGACCACAGCUCCAUCCACUGAAUGCAGCCAGCCCUCUUUGCAAAGCUGUCUCAGGACACAGAAGACGUUUAGCCAUCUGUUCACAACCCGUGGCUAAGGCUCUUCUUGCAAACAGUGAAUGAUGGGAUAUGUCUGCUUCUUUUGAACAGGUGCUGAAUUGCUGUCCAGAUUUGAUUAUGGAUGAAGGCCAAUAAACUGAAGCUGAAUCCUGUUAAAAUGGAGGACUGCCACUAUAUAGUUCUUCUGUCCAGGAAUCGGGUGUUCAGCCUCUUCGAGAUGGGGCUUACUUAUUUAUUUGAUCUAUAUCCUGCCUUUUUCUUAGAAAAAGGA